CUACGGGGUGCUGCAGUGAGGAAUAUUGCACAAUGGGGGGAACCCUGAUGCAGCAACGCCGCGUGGAGGAUGACGCAUUUCGGUGUGUAGACUCCUUUUAUAUGUCAAGAAAAUGACGGUAGCAUAUGAAUAAGCACCGGCUAACUCCGUGCCAGCAGCCGCGGUAAUAGCGGAGGGUGCAAGCGUUACUCGGAAUCACUGGGCGUAAAGGACGCGUAGGCGGGUUGGAAAGUCAGGUGUGAAAUCCUACAGCUUAACUGUAGAACUGCACUUGAAACUUCUAAUCUAGAGUAUGGGAGGGGGAGAUGGAAUUAGUGGUGUAGGGGUAAAAUCCGUAGAUAUCACUAGGAAUACCUAAAGCGAAGGCGAUCUCCUGGAACAUUACUGACGCUAAGGCGUGAAAGCGUGGGGAGCAAACAGGAUUAGAUACCCGGGUAGUC
Molecule: ribosomal RNA, 440 nt
Filed under: uncultured bacterium
Lineage: Bacteria
Description: partial 16S ribosomal RNA
Rfam family: Bacterial small subunit ribosomal RNA
Source: RNAcentral